AUUGAACGCUGGCGGAAUGCUUUACACAUGCAAGUCGAACGGUAGAGGGGGCAACCCCUUGAGAGUGGCGAACGGGUGAGUAAUAUAUCGGAACGUGCCCAGUCGUGGGGAUAACGUAGCGAAAGUUACGCUAAUACCGCAUACGAUCUAAGGAUGAAAGCGGGGAUCGCAAGACCUCGCGCGAUUGGAGCGGCCGAUAUCAGAUUAGGUAGUUGGUGGGGUAAAGGCUCACCAAGCCAACGAUCUGUAGCUGGUCUGAGAGGACGACCAGCCACACUGGAACUGAGACACGGUCCAGACUCCUACGGAGGCAGCAGUGGGAAUUUUGGACAAUGG
RNAcentral lists this ribosomal RNA (336 nucleotides) under uncultured bacterium. RNAcentral describes it as "bacterial SSU rRNA". It matches the Rfam family "Bacterial small subunit ribosomal RNA", at positions 30 to 374 of the family's 1533-position model. The record is from RNAcentral.